CGGCCCGCACAAGCAGCGGAGCGUGUGGUUUAAUUCGAUGUUACACGAAGAACCUUACCAGGGUUUGACAUGCAAGUGGUAGGAAGCCGAAAGGUGACCGACCCUUCGGGGAGCUUGCACAGGUGCUGCAUGGCUGUCGUCAGCUCGUGUCGUGAGAUGUUCGGUUAAGUCCGCUAACGAGCGCAACCCUCGCUGUGUGUUAUAUGUGUCACACGGGACUGCCGGUCUUAAGCCGGAGGAAGGUGGGGAUGAUGUCAAGUCAGCAUGGCCUUUAUAUCCUGGGCUACACACACGCUACAAUGGCCAACACAAUAGGUUGCUAAGCCGCGAGGUGGACGCCAAUCCAUAAAGUUGGUCUCAGUUCAGAUUGUAGGCUGCAACCCGCCUGCAUGAAGAUGGAGUUGCUAGUAACCGCAGGUCAGCUAUACUGCGGUGAAUACGUUCCCGGGGCUU
RNAcentral lists this ribosomal RNA (453 nucleotides) under uncultured Leptolinea sp. RNAcentral describes it as "bacterial SSU rRNA". It matches the Rfam family "Bacterial small subunit ribosomal RNA", at positions 920 to 1378 of the family's 1533-position model. Lineage: Bacteria; Bacillati; Chloroflexota; Anaerolineae; Anaerolineales; Anaerolineaceae. The record is from RNAcentral.